CUCCUGCAUCCGGGUGCCCGGUGGUUGGGAGCGAAGUGAGCAGAGGUUGGCAAGAGAGAGAAAGGAGAGGUGGUGGUUUGCUAGGCGCUUGGCCUGACGCUGACGUCGCGCUGGCUGAAGGCCUUUUACAGGAUGGAAGUUCGGUGAGGGAGAAAUGGCCUGUACCUGAAACCCCGGAGGGUUGUGAAUGGUCAGGGUGUUUACGAAGCUGGAACGUUGCAUCUGGAGAAACUGGUAGAAGGUAUAGUUGGGUUGUCGGCAGAGGUUGAAGAUCGGAGUGAUCUGGAUGGCGGAGGAGAGGUCUGAUUCCUCUGUCUUGGAGUGUGGGUUGCUGAGCGAGAAGCCCUGCGUCCUCGGCUUGGAGCAGCCGGAUCGAUGAUGGUGUUGGACGGAGAAGUGUCUUUGCUGGAAUCGGAUGGCUGUGAUGAAGCAAUGGUGGGAGAAUUGAAAAGUUCCUCAUCGGAGGGAAAGAUAUCCAGUUCGGACAUCUUUCUGGCUUGAGGGUGGGACCAACUUGUCAGGAGAGUUGUCAUAUGAAGCAGUGAGCACGGGGAGAGCGGCAUAAAUAGAGACACACCGCAAAUAGGAGGGAGAGAGAGCCUGGGCACGACAGACCCGAGCAAGAAGCUAGGAGUUUCUUUACAAAUGUUGAGAGUUUAUUUUUGUGAAGCGGUGUGCGAUUGAUGAUUAACUUUGUGCUGCAGAGAGAGAGAAAAUAAACUAUAACCUGAA
This is a long non-coding RNA of Myxocyprinus asiaticus (Chinese sucker), 732 nucleotides long. RefSeq lists it as uncharacterized. The record is from RefSeq and is a predicted model, not a curated record. Lineage: Eukaryota; Metazoa; Chordata; Actinopteri; Cypriniformes; Catostomidae. The transcript has 3 exons.